Spodoptera frugiperda (fall armyworm) is the source of this 538-nucleotide long non-coding RNA. RefSeq lists it as uncharacterized. The record is from RefSeq and is a predicted model, not a curated record. Lineage: Eukaryota; Metazoa; Arthropoda; Insecta; Lepidoptera; Noctuidae. The transcript has 2 exons.
AUACUCCGUCAAUUGUCGACGGAUUUUCAAAAUUCUUUUUUUGUUCGAAAGUAGAUAGUUCUGAGGUGGUCCCAUUGUCACCAAGUUAGGAUCUGAUGAUGGGAUCAUUAGAGAAAUCGAGGGAACUCCUCAAAUAUUAUAGGGAACUAUAUAGUGAUUUUGGUAUAUUCAUCUAGAAUUGAAGCAUUUACAGUCAAAAAGUAACCUUUGAAGAGGUGGAACUGAUGAAGAAGACCAGAAAUGGCCAAUGGAACUUCAUACUCACAUAGAAAUCACAAUAAAGUUAUACUCCGUCAAUUGUCGACGGAUUUUCAAAAUUAUUUUUUUGUUCGAAAGUAAAUAGUUCUCAGCUGGUCCCAUUGUCACCAAGUUAGGAUCUGAUGAUGGGAUCUUAGAGAAAUCGAGGGAACUCCUCAAAUAUUAUAGGGAACUAUAUAGUGAUUUUGGUAUAUUCAUCUAGAAUUGAAGCAUUUACAGUCAAAAAGUAACCUUUGAAGAGGUGGAACUGAUGAAGAAGACCAGAAAUGGCCAAUGGAAC